Molecule: ribosomal RNA, 253 nt
Filed under: uncultured bacterium
Lineage: Bacteria
Description: partial 16S ribosomal RNA
Rfam family: Bacterial small subunit ribosomal RNA
Source: RNAcentral
UACGAAGGGGGCUAGCGUUGCUCGGAAUUACUGGGCGUAAAGGGCGCGUAGGCGGCCAUUCAAGUCAGGGGUGAAAGCCUGUGGCUCAACCACAGAAUUGCCUUUGAUACUGUUUGGCUAGAGACCGGAAGAGGUAAGUGGAACUGCGAGUGUAGAGGUGAAAUUCGUAGAUAUUCGCAAGAACACCAGUGGCGAAGGCGGCUUACUGGUCCGGUUCUGACGCUGAGGCGCGAAAGCGUGGGGAGCAAAAGGG